This is a long non-coding RNA of Triticum aestivum (bread wheat), 1527 nucleotides long. RefSeq lists it as uncharacterized. The transcript is spliced from 3 exons. NCBI's taxonomy places the organism in Eukaryota, Viridiplantae, Streptophyta, Magnoliopsida, Poales, Poaceae. The record is from RefSeq and is a predicted model, not a curated record.
AUCAGAAUCGCGGCUCCCCGUCUGAUCCGUUCGCUUUCCGUCUGAGACGAAUUGAAUGCAGGGGCGAGAGUCUUCUUCCCCAAGGGUCAUUUGGUAGCUGAUGAGGAGUGCGGGAUAGUGGUCUGGACCGCCGGCGGCGGGGCACCGUGAAGCUUCUGAUGCAACCGAUUGGCUGGUGGGGGAGAGUUUGGUCCCCGCCCCUGUGCGUGCGAAAGGCCAAGUUGUGGCAGGGCCAACGGCGCCGCGGCAGACAGCGGUGAAGAGCAGAUCUUCGCGGCGGAGGGAAGGGAGAGGUCACCGCCGACAUCGGAGCUGUCAACAGAGAGGAUGGAUCCUCAGGCGCCCGGAUGGAACCAGAGGAUAGGAAGAAGAUUAUCAAAAGCUUGAAGGGGAAGAGUAUGAAGAUCACUCUCAGUGAGUAUGUAUGCCUUGUAAGUGAUGUCUAUAUAUGUAAUAUAUUUUAGUGUUUAAAUAGGAUCGUACUGUGUGAAUUCUAUACUCUCACCUAUACAAACAUUCUUCCAGUGCACACAAACUUUGGAUGCAAUUAAUCAUCAACUGAAUUUACAUGUAUUUUUUUCCUCCAGUUUGUUGUUUGUCUUCUAUCCAUUGUUGAUAACGCAAAACUUGUUACUGAGGUUAGCCAGCACCAAUCGUUUGCUUGAACCAGCUGUUAUGCUUAUAGCUUACUUAUAAGUUGAUUGAACCUUUUAUCUGGGAGCUUCACUGACAGGAUCCAUGUACUUCAGGACUGGUCAAUUCCCAUGUCUUUGCAAAUUUUGUUUUCACUUUUUCAUGAUUUAUAAUUUAAUUUGGUUUAGAAAGCAUGGUUGAGAUGCAGCCUAUUAACAGUAGAGGGUCGUGGUCUACGUAAAGGAUUACUAGGAUGGCGAGCCCACGAUGGCGCUGAUGAUCAGCUGAUCAAGCAGGUGAUGAUGAAGGCGUGGGUCUACUCAGUGGGGGCAGCGGAGGGCGCGGACAGUAAUAACAGUUGGGGGCAGCGGAGAGUUGUCUGUAAUGCAUUUCCCAUGCCAUCAGGCUGUAUCUUUGUUUUUCUUCUUUCUUGUAGUACUAUAAAUACAAAUGUAUGAGUAGAUCUGAACUUAUAAUUUCUCUGUAACACAUGCCUAAGCUUCCUAGAAAUGCUCACGUACAGAACAGAGACCAAACAAGCCAACUGAAUUAGCGGUGGCAAACAGGCACCGCACAGUCGUGUCUCGGGAGGGCGCUGAACCCAUUACAUUCAGAGAUGCUGGCUGCUGAAGCUGCACUUCACUUGGCGUCAGAUUUAGGAAUGGGCAAGGUCUACAUGGAAACUGAUGCUCUGUUGCUGAAGGAAGCGCUAGAUGAUACUGGCAUUCAUCUCUCGUGCCUUGGUGUUGUGGCGGACCGCUUAAAAACUUUUAUCAUGUGUAAUUUCAUUGAGUGGCAAGAUUGUGCACUGCUCUAGAAUAUGUAAUCAGGCAGCGCACACCCUUGCGACAAAGGGCUCGCUGAUGGCCUGGGUGCCGACCUGACCCAUGUGGA